This 276-nucleotide long non-coding RNA is filed under the name Physcomitrium patens. Its description in RNAcentral is "long non-coding RNA (PPAT_LNC007107)". Lineage: Eukaryota; Viridiplantae; Streptophyta; Bryopsida; Funariales; Funariaceae. The record is from RNAcentral.
CUCUAACUAUAAAUAAAUAGUAUUAGAAGUGAGAGUCAUCUUAUUUCAUACUUCUUUUGGAUGGAACCUUGUUGAUGCUAAGCAUUGUAGCUUCUAACUUCUCUUUCUUCAAUAAAAAGUUUGAUUACCAAAAAAGACAAUGUAUCAAAAAAUAAGUUUUUUUUAGCUACAAUAGAAAUUGUGCAACUUAAAUCUUGUACAAUAUCUAGUAAAGGUCUUAUUUUUUUUAAAAUUCUUCACCUUGAUUUACAUUAGAAGUUUGUUUAGAAUUAAAAA